This is a long non-coding RNA of Acanthopagrus latus (yellowfin seabream), 4108 nucleotides long. RefSeq lists it as uncharacterized. NCBI's taxonomy places the organism in Eukaryota, Metazoa, Chordata, Actinopteri, Spariformes, Sparidae. The record is from RefSeq and is a predicted model, not a curated record. The transcript has 2 exons.
UGUACAUAUAGGCUUUGUAAAGACAACAUCCACAUUCAUCAGUUUCUUAUUUUGGUCUUUUAUUUGGCCUUGAGCAUGCUGCAAAUACAAAUUUGUGCUCUAUCUUUUGCCAUCAAACACAUGCGUGGUGGAACCACCGUCCACAGACAUCACAGGAUAUCUUUAGUGCAUAAACAUUUGAACAUUUGUGUUAUAAUGUAAACAUCAAUGUUAAUUCCUUGACCAAUAUUAACUUGGGGGAUAAUAGUGUUUUAAAGAGAGUGCUUCCGUACUUGCUACUUUGGGGAACUUUCAGCCAUUGAAGAAAAUGUAAACAAGGACUGCAAUUUAUUACAUCUAAGAGUAUGUAAACUAGAGAGGUUAACGAACCACAUGUGCUGAUCAUGACCUUGUGACAUCAUGUCAGUGUAUCUCUUAGAGGAUCUCAUUGGAUAAACCGAACAUCCCAAAUAAAGCUCAAUUUUGGUAGCCUAUUUGCAUAGGAGAAUCCCGAAUGAGACAUCGCUCAAGUUGAAAAACUUUGGGAAAGCUAUAAAACAAAAGGAUGUAAAUUGUGCGGUGGACUUAAAAAAUUAUGAAACAGACUACUACCCUACAUUAAUGUUUCCAAAUUCUCAAUUAACUUCAGGUUAUCUCUUGUCCUGCAAGGGAAACUGAUCCAGACAUUUACCAUGAAAUUUUAUUUAAUUUUAUAUUUAUUGAAAUGAAUACUAAUCCUACAUUCUAAAAAGUAAGUUUAUUUUUUUCUAUUGUUAUUUAAGUCUGAGCCUCCUUUCAUUUUUAACACAGGGGGAACAGUAUCUGACAGUAUUUUAAAUGGUCAACUUGAAUGAUAUCAGCCUGGAAAUCACAGGACUUAUCUGUUGUGGCGAAAGAAUAAAGGAGUAUGACUCUCAAAGAUGUGUGAACCUCCUUUCAUUUUGAACACAGGGGGAACAGUGUCUGACAGUAAUAUUCCAAGCUGUCAGGAUGCGUUCCCCCUGUUGUAAGUGGUCCAAUUGAAUGAUAUCAACCUGAAAAUCACAGAACUAAUCUGUUGUGGGGAAAGAACUCAGGAGUAUGAAUUUCAAAGAUGUGUGAGCCUCAUUUCAUAUUAAACAGAGGGGGAACAGUAUCUGACAGUAAUAUUCCAAGCUGUCAGGAUGCAUGAAUUCUGGAAUUCUGACUUUGGUCUGAGAGUUCUACAAUUCUGACUUUGAUUUAAGAAUUCUAGAAUUCUGACUUUGAUCUCAGAAUUCUAUACAUCUUACUUUAAUCUUAGCUUUCUGACUUUAUUCUCAGAAUACUAAUUUUAAUAUCAGAAUUCUGACUUGAAUCUCAGAAUUCUGAGUUCACUCUGAGAAUUCUGACUUUAAAGUCAGAACUCAAAAAAGUCACAUGUGUCCCUAAUCAUCUUCCAUCCAAGCUAAUCUCAGAAUUCUGCCUUUAAUCUCAGAAUUCUAGAAUGCUGUCGAUCAUCUCAGAAUUGUAGAAUUCUGACUUUGAUAUCAGAAUUCAACAAUUCUGACUUUGAUCUCAGAAUCCUCAAAUUCUGUGUUUGAUCUCAGAAUUCUAGAAUUCUGUCUUUCAUAUCAGGAUUCUAGAAUUCUGUCUUUAAAAAGAGGGGGAGCAGUAUCUGAAAGUAGAAUUCCAAGCUGUCAGGAUGUGUUCCCCCUGUUCCAAAUGGUCAAAUUGAAUGAAAUCAGCAUUGCAUUGCAUGAUAUCAUCAUGAAAAUCACAGAAUUUAUCUAAUGUGGGGAAAGAAGUCAGGAGUAUGAAUUUCUAGAAUUCUGACUUUGAUCCUAGAAUUCUAGAAUUCUGACUCUGAUCUCAGAAUUCUAGAAUUAUGAUACUAGAAUACUACAAUAUGAAUUUCAAGGAUCUGUGAGCCUCCAUUCAUAUUAAACAGAGGGGGAACAGUAUCUGACAGUAGUAUGCCAAGCUGUCAGGAUGCGCUCCCUCUGUUGUAAAUGGCAAAAGAAGGGAGGCAACACACAGACCUGUUGACCAAAAAGUAAUUUAUUUAACUCAAACCAACAUAAAUGUUAAGUAACUAGUGGGGUAUGUACAAUAGGAAAGGUAUCAGUCGUAUUAGCAGUGUAUGGAUGUGUGAAGAUAUGGUGUAUGGUGUGUUGUGAAGUGCAUCAACCCAUCAACCCUCGCCCAGAAAGGCAGGUACAGGUAGAUGACCCUCCCAGCUCCAUCUACCUCUGCAAGAAAACAGUCAGAGCAUGUCAGACCACCAAUUCAAGAGGAGGAGAGGUCGUCACAAUGGUCGAAUUGAAUGAUAUCAGCCUGAAAAUCACGAAACUUAUCUGUUGUGGAGAAAGAAGUAAGGACUAUAAAUUUCAAAGAUAUGUGAGCCUCCUUUCAUAUUGAACAGAGGGAGAAGAGCAACUAACAAUAAUAUUCCAAGCUGUCAGGAUGUGUUCCCCCUGUUGUAAAUGGUAAAAUAGAAUGAUAUCGGCCUGAAAAUCACAGAACUUUUCUGUCAUGGGGAAAGAAGUCAGGAGUAUGAAUUUCAAAGAUGUGUGAGCCUCGUUUCAUAUUAAUCUCAGAAUUCUAGAAUUCUUUCUUGAAUUUCAGAAUUCUAGAAUGCUGUCUUUCAUCUCGGAAUUCUAGAAUUUUGAUUUUGAUCUCAGAAUUCUAGAAUUCUGACUUUUUUCUAAGAAUUCUGAUGUUUUUUCUCAGAAUCUUGAGUUCAUUCUCAGAAUUCUGACUUUAAAGUCAGAACUCACAAAAAUGUCACAUGUUGCCCUAAUCAACUUCCAUCCAUGCCAAUCUCAGAAUACUGCCUUUGAUCUCAGAAUUAUACAAUUCCGUCUUUAAUCUCAGAAUGCUAGAAUGCUGUCGUUCACCUCAGAAUUCUAGAAUUCUGACUUUGAUCUCAGAAUUCUACAAUUCUUACUUUAAUCUUAUCUUACUGACUUCAUUCUCAGAAUACUAAUUAUAAUGUCAGAAUUGUAACUUCAAUCUCAGAAUUCUGACUUUUUUCUCAUACUCAUGACUUCAUUCUCAGAAUGCUGACUUUAAAGUCAGAACUCACAGAAAUGUCACAUGUGGCCCUAAUCAUCUUCCAUACAUGUUAAUCUCAAAAUUCUAGGAUGCUGUCUUUAAUCUCAGAAUUCUUUAAUUAUGACUUUAAUCACAGAAUUAUGAAUUUAAAUUCAGACCUAAAAAAAAUGUCACAUGUGGCCCUAAUCAUCUUCCAUACAGGAUAAUCUCAGAAUUCUAAAAUUCUGACGUUGAUCUCAGAAUCCUAGAAUUGUUUCUUUGAUCUCAGAGUUCUAGAAUGCUGAUUUUUAAUCUCAGAAUUUUUUUUUUGGCCUUUUCUGGCUUUAUUGAUAGUACAGCUGAAGAGUGUGACAGGAAACAAGGUGGAUGAGGUCUGUGGACUCAACAUGAUGAUGCAUACGAGUGUCACAAUGGCUGGGCAUGCCUCCAAUAUGCAUAUGUGCAACCAACUUGGGUGCCCGCUAAAGGGAAAUCCUGUUGAGCCUUUAAAAAACAUUCUUCCCACAUCCGGUGACUGGUGACAGGGUGUAAUAACCAGCACUACAGGUCAGAUCAACUGGACAAACACUGUUCAUCUGAAUACUGUCCAAACUAAAGAUGGAUUGCAUGCUGCCAACAAGGUAUCACCUGUGAAUUUUGACUCACAGAUGAUGAUGGUGCCCCUGGCUGCACAGACACUGAGUCGCUCUGUGACAGUAGCUCUGUGCACACUGAGGGACCUUGGCUAUUCAACACUGGGAUGCAACAGCUGACUUCAUUGAGGUAAUACUGACAUGACAACAGAGAAGGCAAACAUGCACCUUUUAACAGAAGUAGGUCAAUCUUAAAUUCCCUCUAGAACAGCCCGUGUUAUGAUUUUAACAAUAACCUUAUUAACAAUACGAUCAAAGGGCCACCAGUUGAACUGGUCUGCUAUUGAGUGUUUUAUCUACAUUAAUUUUCUGCAAUUAUGUUCAGAUCUAAAAUAUGGGGGCGCAGUUUAGCUCAGCUGGUAGAGCAGGCGUCCCAUGUACAGAGGCUUUGUCCUUGCUGCAGCGGACCAUUUGCUGUGUCUCUCACCCUGUCUCCUGUCAUCUUCUUCAGCUGUACUAUCAAUAAAGGCCAAAAAAAAAUA